Molecule: long non-coding RNA, 6542 nt
Filed under: Sus scrofa (pig)
Lineage: Eukaryota; Metazoa; Chordata; Mammalia; Artiodactyla; Suidae
Description: lncRNA (ENSSSCG00000060528.1)
Source: RNAcentral
ACAUAGAAUGUCUGUGAGUAUUAGGAAUCUUUUAACUUGUGACCUAAAAAAUAUCUAAGCCUCACCAGUUUCCCAGGAUAGAUUUCAGCCUAUCUGGCACUUAAAAGAAGAAAAAAUCUUGGAAAGCCUACUAUAGAGCUAUAACUCUCCAAAAUCUCAAGGAAUCAUAGAUAACCUAUAAAUACUAUGUGGAGCAUAAAAUUCUUAAAUAUGCAGUUCCAUUUAUGGGAUUCAGAAAACAAAAAACUGAACCAGUCAAAUCAGGCCAAUUCUGAGCUUACUUUCUCUGUCUUGAAAUACAAAAUAAAUAAAUAAACAAAUAAAUAAAUAAAUAAAUUUUAAAAGAUGUGCUUCUGAAACUUUGGGUUUGAUCUCCAAAUUUCAAGCAUCUGCCACAUGUUUGUGCUGGGAGUGUGCUGUGGUUGCAAUAAAACUAUUCUUGGGUUUCUUUUCCAAAGGGCACUAACAAACACGAAUUUUUAAACCUUUUUAUGGAGGCUGAGUGAAAUACUUUGAUUUUCGUAUAAACUCAUCCCCAAACUGGAUUUACGACACUGAUGAUUAAAACAUCUCUAGUUAUUUCUUCCUAGUCCGGGAAUGGCUUUUAAAACAAACAGCCAGAACUUGGGGUGGAUUUGUUUGAGGUUGUGGUCACUGUCACAGGAACACUGGAGAGAGAGGGUUUGAGGAAAACCACUUUCAUGUGAUGAGUUCCACGUUGCAACUCCAAGAAUCACAUGUGCUCUAAGUCGAUUUAGCUUUUGGAACCAUCUGAAUAAGACCACGGCAUAGAGUUGGCUAUCCUCACUGAUUUGAACAGCAAAACCAAAGUUUCAAUCAUCGGGCUCUGAUGCAGGAGAAAUUAAGCAAAGUCUAUUUCCCAUACUCCUCCCAGUAUAGCUGGGUGUUUACAAAAUCCCAUUAUUAAAACUGACUUCUAUGUUUAAGCUCUUUGAAAAGCACACACACACCUUUCUUGCCUAUGGAAAAUCAGUAUCAACUGCCCCAAGUAGAAAGCUAUGUACACAUAAAUACAAUGAAAAUAAAAGCAUGAUAGAAAUGGCUGUGUCCUGAAGACUCCUAGCCUGAUGGCUAUUCUAUUGCAGUGGCUGUUGUUUAAAGGGAGGUUAGCAAGAUUUAACAGAUGUUAAAUUACCAAUACAGUCAUUGAAUGGACUGACUACUGAAAAAGCUGUGUAUUUACACUUGGUAAUGUUUACUGUCGUGUGCUCAUACCACUAUGAAUGAUCAUCUUUAAUAGCAUCUGUGGUUUGUAUUUCAUGCCUUGCGAAAUCCUUUUCCAGUGGACAUAACCCUUGUCACGGGUAAUGCACAAUUCUUUAUGAGCUUAUGAGUCAAUAGCACCUGGGAGUGGAUGAAGUUUAGAUUCUUUCUUGAUCUCCUUCCAGUCCAUUAGCCCCACCUGCCUCAUUUUCUCCAUUCUAGGGUUCAGACAUAGGGGGAAGCCUUCCUUUACUCUUGAGGUUCUCCACACUUUUUCUAGGAUCUAGAAAAUUCUCCUUGUCAUGGCAAUCCUUCCUUUCACAAACACAUCUUUCUCCACUUAGACAACUUCCACACACCCACUCAAACUCAAAACACCAUUAGAGGACAAGUGGGUAAUAGAUAUUAAACAUGUACACUUUGAGGAAUUAAUCAGAAAUAUUUUCUAAAAGGUAUAAAGAAGUGAAUGCAAGAGUGAUUAUUUCAGCAUUGUUUGGAAAGACCAAAAUGGAAGUAACGGCAGUAUCCAUUACUGUAAAUCUGGCUAUAUCACAAUUCUCCCUCCAUAAAAUAUACUAUUUUGAAGUAGUUUAAAAGCUCAAGUCAUCUACAUCUGUGUGUGUGUGUGUGUAUAUAUAUGCACUUACAUGGAGAGAGCGCCACUGUGUCUAUGUAACUUACUGAACGCCUCCUUGCUCUUUGCCUGGAUUGAUUCAUUCACUGAAUCUUCACAAAACUGUUAAGGGGUUGCAAUAUUACCCCAUAUUACAGAUGAGGAAUUCAGGACAUAGGAAGGUGAGGUCAUUUGCCCAAAGUUACUCUGUUAGUGGAAAGUCAAGAUUUAACCCAAUGAAUUUUAAUGCCUUGGAUAGCUCUUCUGAAUUUUAGACUGUAUUGUAGGUUUUGAAGAAUAAAUGUUAAACUGUCUAUUCCAUUUACCUUGGAAGGAAGUACCAGGUUCACAAGGGAUGUCUUUGUGUCCUCAACUGAGCACAUGUGUUUCUUCUCAUUGCCUCCUUGGCUGAUGCCUUUUAAGCCCCAGCUAGGGGGGUGAGACAUGGGAGGGACAUUUCUCCUUAUGCACUGAAUCCGAUACCAGGCUCAGACUAUUACUCUGUGAGCCCCAAUGUUGGGGAUAAAGAUAUUCUAAAAGGACUGGUUUAUCACAAUCAUGUCUCUGUGGAUCUCACUGGGGCUCACUGGCUCCCAGUCAUGACUCCUCAUGACUUUCUGCCUCCUUGACCUUUCAGUCUGGCAUCUCUUGAACCUAUCUCACCUAACUCCAUUCAACUUGACCUCUUCUAAGAUGUGGGGUUCUUCGUGAUCCUAAACAUCCGAGCUCAAUGUAUUUACCCUUUAUGGGAUGGGGGGAUUUUUAUUUCUAGAGUAAUGCUGAACUUGAGCAACUGUCCCCAAGUUAGGAUAGGGAGGACUAAAGGUAAGUAUAGCCUGUGGUUUUAUUCCUUAAAUUCCACCUUUUUUUUUUAAACGUCCUGCAGCAUAUGGAAGUUCCUGGGCUAAGGGUCUAACUGGAGCUGCAGCUGAAGCCUACACCAAAGCCAUAGCAACACCAGAUCCAAGCCGCAUCUGCGACCUACAUCACAGCUGGAUCCUUAACCCAAUGAGUGAGGGCAGCAAUAGAACCCACAUUCUCAUGGACACUAUGCAGGUUCUUAUCCUGCUGAGCCACAAUGGGAACUCCCUCCCCCUGUCUUUUUAAGGAGACUCGCAUUCUAGGGAGCCAUUGAUGAAAUCACUGAGGCAGGAGCUGGACUAUUUUUAAGUACAUUAUAAUCACUGUUGACAAAUCUUUUCUGAUAAUCCCUCUUUGAAAAUGAAAGCUCUGGGCAAUACGACAAGUAGUGGGAAGCACCACCUUCCUACUGACAACAACAUAGUAACUACUAUCAUUGUUAUUAUUCCACAGAAGUUUAUUUGCAAACUUUAAAUGGCAAGUUUUUUUACCUGGUUUUCUUCCAGGUGCCAGGUGUCCCUCCCUCUGUCUUGGUUGAUAAUGUCUAUAAACAUCAAUUAGAAAGAAGUCUGCUGUUUGGUGAAUAUUUCCGUGACACAAAGUGGCAAAAGAUGACUGAAUCUCGCAGGAUUAAACCACGGCAACAAGAUCAUCAUUCCUGUGGGUCUACUGUGGGGCAGAUACUAUUACGCUCUUCACAUUCAGAAUCUCUCAUUUAUCAAGAGAGUAUCAAGGUAAGCUUUAUGAAACCCCAUUUCAGAGAUGGGGAUAGGGAAGAUGUGAGAGGUCAUGGGAUUUGACCAAGGUCAUCAGUAAGUGGUAGAACAAUGAUUCAGGCACACACCUUCCUGACCUAAAACCCCAAUGUAUUGCCUAAUUCUGGCUUCCAUGGCCAAACCCCAGACUUGCUGUAGUAAUUUCCCAUUUUUGAAAGGAGUUCUUUGACAAAUUUGAACACUCAGGAAAUUCUUCUCUCAUUUCUGGCUGUGGCCGCCAUGAAGGGGUGGGAACAUAUGGGUAGGAGUUUGCUUUUCUCUUUCCUGCCCACAGCUAUGCAUGUGCAAGCUCCCAAACACCAGCACUGUGCUGUAUCUGCACACAGCUGUGGGAUGCCUUCCAGAGAAGAUGUUUAUUUUCACUGACCCUUCCUCUCCCAUGAUUUAGUCUUGUUUUAAUAUUUUUUUAUGGGUUUAAGUGUGAACAAUCACCAUCCAUAUGAAAUCUUCCAGCUGCUUCUGAAGCUCUUUGGAGACCAAAGUCUGAAAGCCACAGCCUACCCUGCCUGGUUAGAGGUGCUCUCUGAGGGGAGAACUCUAGGCACGAGGAAUGAGGUGAGGCUGGGAGGGAGCAGAGGGCAGGGAAAAUUCAAGCCAAAGGUGCCUCUGGACCCUCAGUGGCUGAGGGGGGCUGCCAGUUGGGACGAUUGGCAGGCAUGGAAAGUCCUUCCAGUGCUGCUCCCAUUUAUUUCCCUACUACUCCUUUUUGUGGAAUUCAGGACUUGCUUCCAAGCGAUUUUUUUUUUUUUCAAGUGACUUGGAUCUGGUCAAAAGAAAAAAGCCCUAAGCUUUGUGUCAGGAGCUGCAACUUUUCACCAGAUCAUAUGGUAGUGAGAUCUACUGGAUAAAUUCAAGUGUGUAAUGUUGCAUUAUGCACUUAAAAACACCCCUCAAAAACACCAAAAAAAACCCCACUUUACUUAACUGAGAUAAAAUUCACAUAACAUGAAGGUCACCAUUUUAACCAUUUUAAAGCAUACACUUCAAAGCGCUAUGGUUUCCACUACACUGGCAGUACCGUGCAACCAUCACCACGAUCUAAUGUCAGAAUACUUCCAUCACAUCAUCUCACCAAUCCCAUGCACAACAGCAGGAAGGAGGUGUUCUUGAUGGCACAUCACAGAUGGGGACAUGGAGUCCCAGAGACUUGAAGUGACGAGGGUUACAAAGGUGUAGAGUAGUAGAACUGAGAUUCAUUUACCAGAGGGCCUCCCUUCCAAACUCAGCUGGACAUGUUGGCCAGGGGCUGCUCAUAGUAUUUUCUCGAUAUGUGGAGACAUUUAAGUGCCACUAGAAAUAAGUGAUUUACUUCUUGUAAGAAACCGAGAAAAUCAGAUAGAGGAAAAACGGUGGUAUUGAGCUUAAAAACCCUAUCACAUAAAAAUUAGAGAGGCAGCAUGAGACUACAAUCUGUAACUUAGGAUGGGGUGGGGAGGGUGUAUGACUUGCAUGUAAAUAGAGCAGAUAAAUGGAAAAAAAAAACAGACAACAAAAAUGAAAGUAUGUGUUUUCACCAGAAAAUCUACACAUACAGUUAUCUUUCCCUUGGUUCUGGGGGAUUCAUUCCAGGACCGCCCGGCCCCGCCCCGCCCCGCCCCAUGGAUCCAAGGAUGCUCAAGUCCCUUAUCUAAAAGGACCUAUGACAUAGAUGCAGCCUCUCUUUAAAUCAUCUCUAGAUUCCGUAAGAUAACCUGAUUUGAUGUAAAUACUAUGUAAAUGGUUGUAAAUAUAACAUAAAUGCUAUGUUAAUAGCUGCCUGUGUGGCAAAUACAAGUUUUGCUUUUUGGAACUUUCUGGAAUUUUUUUUUCAAAUAUUUUCAAUCUGCAGUUGGUUGAAUCUGCUAAUGCAGAACUGUGGAUACCAUGGGCCCGCCAGAGGCUGGGUUGGUAUCUGGCCAUUUCAGCCAUGUCUCCGCAGAACUCCUCAGCACAUCACUGAUAAAUGGGUGUAUUCUACACUCAUAUCCAGGUAUCAGUCAUCUAGCCAACAAAUGAAGCAGCUGGCGUAGGGCAAGCCUGGGUUAGUAUGGAUGGGAACCAUUCGUUUGAAAGGAUACUUAGAAAACUGAGGAGAGGUGAUGUGAGAUGCAGUCACUCAGCAUUACGAGAUCAACUGGGACAGGAGAGACCCAGGGGUAGACAGCUCUAAUCUCUUGCAUUAGAGAGGGCUUCAGACAGCAUUUCAGAGGAGAAGGGAGGGAUACUGAGCAACCACUGUGGCCACACCCAAAGCUGUUCCUCCCUUGGAAGGCUUCCCUGUUGCUUCCCCUCUUUCUCUGUAACCUUCUGUCUCUAGGAGAUGCUGCUUCUUUACUGCAGAGCCUGGUUCAGAGGGAUCCGCAAGGCAGUCCUCAUCUCUUCUUCUCACUGGGUGGGAGAUGAGAAGUGGACGUGGUCUCCCAGAUGGAUCCAGAGGACUGGCUUCAAGGUCAGAGGGAUGGCUUUCACUUUUUCACUGCUGGUCAGUUAACACCCCUGGGUUCUUGUUCUCCCAGUUCAUGCCAGCUUGGGGGUCUCAACUCAGCUUGCAGUUGAGCUCCUCUAGCUGAGCCCUGUUCCUCGUCUUUUUUUCCUCAAUGACUCCACUUCAAUAUCACACCUACUCCUUUUUAAUUCCUUACUCUAAAACUGAUGAAAAUCCCCCAUUCAAAAGACAAUAUUUAAAAGCAUUCCCUUGAAUAAUCAACACAGCAAAGAGGUCAAUUCUUUCCAAAUUUAUCUCUAGUCCCUCCCAUGCAAUUCCUAUCAAAAUCCCAGCAAGAUAUUUUUUUUUAGACAUAGACAAACUUAUUCUAAUAUUUAUGUGAAAAGGCAAAGUACUUAGAACAAGUAAAACAAUUUUGAAAAAGAAUAAAAGAGUCACUCUAGCUGAGGUUAAGGGUUACUAUACAGCUACAGUGACUGAGACAGCAUGGUACUGGCAGAGGGAAAGACAAAGAGCAAUAGAACAGAACAGAACAGAAAAUACAGAUAUAGAACCAUAUAAAUAUGCCCAACUGAUUUUUGACAACGGCACAAAAGGACAGCCUCUUCAAAAAAUGGUAUUGGAGCAAAUGGACAUCCAUAGG